AUCUGAUUGGCCACUGGCCAGCCAAUGGUGGAUCAGACUUUGGAGCAGGUGAUCCUUGGACGCCCACAGUACAUCACCUUCAUGAGCGCAUCAGUGAACACCAGUCUAAGGAAGACAUCUCUGAACGUAAUUUUGGAGAUUUUGAUGAGUUCCAUUGAAACAAGGAGGAAUGUGAUGUCCAGUAUCAGUUCUGCAGACCCAAGGACAAAGAAAAUUCUGUGAUAAACUCAUCCAGUGUGACUGUAAUGUGGGUAUCUAUUUGAUACCUCCAAGUAACUGUUUAUUCUUGUGCCAGUUGAGUAGAUGGUACGGGCCAGUUGGUGUUGAUUAGUGAACCACGGACAAAGGGCAUAUGUCACAUGAGUUGCUCCUGGAUAAAGUCACCCAGUCACUUCCUGAUGAAUAUCCUGCAUAAACUCCAAAGACAAAAGAGAGUUAAGGUUGUUUUUCUCACCUUAGACCAGGCAGUGAUAGAAGAACUGGGGGAAGAGAUAAUUGUAUUUAUCUUGGUGAGGGUGACAAAUCAUGGCAAAUGAGCAAAAUGAAAAAGGAUACAAGACACCGGACUUUCAAAUCAACAAUUGUUUCAAAAGACUCCUACUGGAUUCCUGCUAGUGAUGGGAGAAAAUUAUCAUUCUAUGAAAAGAAUAUGUCUAAGAUCCUGUUAACAGCAGAACUUAGACUGCUAGUGAGUUCUCUUAACUAUCUCCAAUAAAGGUUAUUUGAACCACUCUGGUGUAUUUAAAAAUAUGAUUUAUGUAAAGUGUGCAAGAUAUUUUUAGUUGACACACAAACAAGAGAAAGCCACAUGAGCUGAGGCUAUGCAGGGUGUUGGGCCAAGGGGAGGAGGGCAGGGUGGAAUGGGAGAGGCUCAUUGAUAAUCAGCAUGUGCGUUUUUUUUUCUGGCUUCUAGGCCCUGCUGGAAAUUUUCCAUGCUCUUCAUUCGUUCUCCUGUAUUUCCUAACGCCAAUAAAAGAGGAGAUCCCUGAGGACACGCCUCUCUUUAAUAUCUGCUUUCCUUGCAAAGAUAAGCCAAAGACCAAUGUAUGUCGUAUCUGCCCCCUUCAGCCUUUGGGACACAAUUUUGAUAAACCUUCCUCUAUUUCACAUUAACAGAAAAUGUCACUUCUCCCUUCCUAAUCUCCAAUGCAAACCUAACAUUUUAGCCCAACGUUUCUCAUGCUUGCACAAGCCAGCUUUUAAAUUCUGCUCAAUUCCAAUUUAAGAGUAGGCAUUGUGCUAGACAUUUAUAGCCCAAGAUCUGUAAGCAAAUAUAAUUCUGUGGACUAAGAAAGCUAACAUUUAAAGAACGGAAAGAGUUUUUUAUUUAAAAAAAAAACGCGAAUCACUAUCACUGCCUUUAUUAAUUCUCUAAGUACAAGCUGUUGUAAAUCUUCUCAGUGUUAGAUCCCACUGGAGAGUGAUUCAUCAUAUUGCACAUAAGCUCACUCCAGGCUGAAAUCAUAUCUAUAACGCAAGGGUGAUUAUGGUUGAACACUGGGCACCAAGAGGCUCUCUAGGAGUGCAGAAUGGAAUAUGGAAAAAGCACAUCCAAAGCACUGAGGGCUUUCUGAAUUGAUGGAUUUUUAAAAAAAUAAUUAAAACUAAGAUGGAGACUGG
This 1620-nucleotide long non-coding RNA is filed under the name Homo sapiens (human). RNAcentral describes it as "HSALNT0371256". The record is from RNAcentral. Lineage: Eukaryota; Metazoa; Chordata; Mammalia; Primates; Hominidae.